GUUAAAGUGAAGCAAUGCCUUAUGGGAAUUUCGAGACUGAAUCGAGUGGACCGUCUGCGUGACUGUUGGAAGUUGGAGACUGUAAAUUGGAAGUUGACUGAGAUUAAGCUAGCAAAAAAAUUAACCGAGGCAUGAAGCGACACAAGGGGGGAGCGGAGAAAAGAGAGAGAAAUCUCGGAGAGCACUAUUGGCUGGCGGUGAAAAAUGCUGCAAAACGACUGGUCCGUUUUUAAAAUCAAGUGCAGCUUCAGCUCGCACCAGCGCUAAUAACGUUACUGCUAGCACUAAUGUUAGCGACAAGCUGAGCCAGCACAGUAUGGAGAAAGACAGGACCGUGAGGAAUAUCAGCAAGAGGAGGAUGAAGAGGUAGACAUGGAUAACUGCGUGAAGUGAGUUUCCCUCUGUCUCCGGAAUAUCUCGGUGUCAGACACAAGGUGAGACUACAAGAGCUACGGGGUUUACGAUCCAUCCUGAAUCCAAUCCGACGCUUUUCUCAAGAAGCCGGCCUUGAGAAUGGUCCGGCAGUGUCUCAUCACAAAGACAAAGCCCCUCACAAGGAGCGGUCAGGGCAUUAAUCUAACCACUGUGGACAGAAGGUGACUCUGACAUCUGUGAUGCAGCCUGCUGAAUGUCCUUGGAGAGUCUAUCUCAGUUGCAUAAAGACGCGCAGCAAAAAAGUAACUCUCUGCUGAGAUGUACCCGGACACUCAGCGGGACCGUUGGCGCCACCAGAGUAUUACAAGUUUCAUAUGGAAAACAGUAGGACCCCCCACACGGGAACAAUCACAAAGCUGAAGCAAACACAUACUCGGCCCCUCUGCAGAGUCUGGAUUCGUGCAUCGCAUCCUCCAGACGUCCUGCUGAGAUCUCCGACCCGCUCAUCUAGGGCUCUGAAUUCCACUCGCCACACGGAGGAGCCAUGGUGAGAGCACAGACGCUGCUGAAACAAGAAACGAGGGACCACACGAACACCCACAUAAUGUACAUACAAACACUGGAGGUGAGAAGUUGUGGGGGUAAAAGUUAAAACUGCUAUUGUAGACCAAAGUAACUGUAUGUUACAUUUUUGCAGUAAUAAAUCAUAGAUUGCAUUA
Acanthopagrus latus (yellowfin seabream) is the source of this 1094-nucleotide long non-coding RNA. RefSeq lists it as uncharacterized. The transcript is spliced from 4 exons. NCBI's taxonomy places the organism in Eukaryota, Metazoa, Chordata, Actinopteri, Spariformes, Sparidae. The record is from RefSeq and is a predicted model, not a curated record.